RNAcentral lists this transfer RNA (72 nucleotides) under Camelus bactrianus (Bactrian camel). It matches the Rfam family "tRNA". From Rfam's summary of the family: Transfer RNA (tRNA) molecules are approximately 80 nucleotides in length. Their secondary structure includes four short double-helical elements and three loops (D, anti-codon, and T loops). Lineage: Eukaryota; Metazoa; Chordata; Mammalia; Artiodactyla; Camelidae. RNAcentral also lists the same sequence under 2 other names. The record is from Rfam by way of RNAcentral.
GAAGGUAUAGCUCAGUGGUAGAGUGCAUGCUUGGCGUGCAUGAGGUCCUGGAUACAAUCCCUAGUGCCUCCG